CGCACCUUGCACCUCUUAGUAUUCUGAGAGGUACACCUGUUUGAGUGUCAUUAAUUCUACUCCAUACAAAUUCUUCAUUAGAAAAGUUUGUAAAGGGACUUGGGAGAUUGCAAUGAGAGUUGCUCUCCUUAAAUGAAUUAGCAGUGAUUAUUACUAAAGAUCCUUUGGUUGAUGUGAUAGUUAUCUCCUCUCAACCUUCUUUGAAUACUCAUUUCUGCUUAAAGUUGUCUUUGAGUCUACAAGGACAGUUAUAAAUUUUAAGACAUGAUCUCAAAUCAGGUGGGACUACCCGCUGAACUUAA
RNAcentral lists this unclassified non-coding RNA (302 nucleotides) under Asterostroma cervicolor. RNAcentral's name for it is "partial contains 5.8S ribosomal RNA, internal transcribed spacer 2, and large subunit ribosomal RNA". The record is from RNAcentral. Lineage: Eukaryota; Fungi; Basidiomycota; Agaricomycetes; Russulales; Lachnocladiaceae.